Molecule: ribosomal RNA, 843 nt
Filed under: Rhodococcus sp. 2P4
Lineage: Bacteria; Bacillati; Actinomycetota; Actinomycetes; Mycobacteriales; Nocardiaceae
Description: bacterial SSU rRNA
Rfam family: Bacterial small subunit ribosomal RNA
Source: RNAcentral
CAGAGGGGGGGCUCCGUUGUCCUGUAAUUUCCUGGUAAAUUAAACAGGCUCCUAAAGACGGGUUUGUCUCUUUCAACUGUGAAAAACCCCGCAGGCUCUAACUGGCGGAGCUUGCCAGGCGAAUACGGGCAGGACUUGUAAUACUGCAAGGGGAGACUGGAAAUUUCCUGGUUGUAGACGAUGAAAAUGCGCAGAUAUCUGGGAGGAACACCGGUGUACCAAGGCGGUUCCUCUGGGCAGUAACUGACGCUGAAGGAACGAAAGCGUGGUAGCGAACAGGAUUAGAUACCCUGGUAGUCCACGCCGUUAAACGGUGGGCGCUAGGUGUGGGUUUCCUUCCACGGUGAUCCGUGCCGUAGCUAACGCAUUAGGCGCCCCGCCUGGGGAGUACGGCCGCAGGGCUAACACUCAAAAGGAAUUGACGGGGCGCCCGCACAAGCGUCGGACCAUGUGUAUUAAUUCUUAUGCAACGGCGAAGAACCUUACCUGGGUUUUGACAUACACCGACCGCCCCAGAGAUGGGGUUUCCCUUGGGAUCUGGUUUAAAGUGUUGAAUGGGUUGGUCAUCAAACCCGUGUCGAGAAAUGUUGGGUUAGUUCCGCAACAAGCGCAACCCUUUGUCCUGUUUUGCCACCAGUUAAAGUUGGUGACUCCCGGGAAACUGCCGGGGACACUUCGGAGGAAGGGGGGGACAACCCAAGUCUUCGGCCCUUUUUGCCAGGGAUUACACUGUUAAAAUGGCGGGAAAAAGGGCCCAAUCCCCGGGGGAGCGAACCUUAAGGCGUUCCAUUCGAAUGGGUCCCACCCACCCUUAAGGGAUCCCUAACCCAAAACCCUCGGAGA